GACGAACGCUGGCGGCGUGCUUAACACAUGCAAGUCGAACGGAAAGGCCCUGCUUUUGUGGGGUGCUCGAGUGGCGAACGGGUGAGUAACACGUGAGUAACCUGCCCUUGACUUUGGGAUAACUUCAGGAAACUGGGGCUAAUACCGGAUAGGAGCUCCUGCUGCAUGGUGGGGGUUGGAAAGCUUCGGCGGUUGGGGAUGGACUCGCGGCUUAUCAGCUUGUUGGUGGGGUAGUGGCUUACCAAGGCUUUGACGGGUAGCCGGCCUGAGAGGGUGACCGGCCACAUUGGGACUGAGGUACGGCCCAGACUCCUACGGGAGGCAGCGGUGGGGAAUAUUGCACAAUGGGCGGAAGCCUGAUGCAGCAACGCCGCGUGCGGGAUGACGGCCUUCGGGUUGUAAACCGCUUUCGCCUGUGACGAAGCGUGAGUGACGGUAAUGGGUAAAGAAGCACCGGCUAACUACGUG
Molecule: ribosomal RNA, 468 nt
Filed under: uncultured bacterium
Lineage: Bacteria
Description: partial 16S ribosomal RNA
Rfam family: Bacterial small subunit ribosomal RNA
Source: RNAcentral